Perca fluviatilis (European perch) is the source of this 672-nucleotide long non-coding RNA. RefSeq lists it as uncharacterized. The transcript is spliced from 3 exons. The record is from RefSeq and is a predicted model, not a curated record. NCBI's taxonomy places the organism in Eukaryota, Metazoa, Chordata, Actinopteri, Perciformes, Percidae.
GAUUCUUCAUCGUGUCAGAGUUCUGCUCUUCUUCUUCUUCUUUUUUAACAUUUCUAAAUUUUUGGACCUUCGUACCUGAAACUUUCUCCACCAACUCUCCGGUAUCUCUCCUACUGCUGACUCUAGAACUCAUCUCUCUCCUGUCAUUCAGAUCAACAUGAAGAUCUCUAUCUUUGCUGGUGUUCUGCUGAUCUCUGCUGCUCUGAUGUUCCUGGGACCAUAACCUUCAGAUGCUCAGUCCUUUGAUGCUAGGCACACCUACCAUAAGAUGACUGCUGCCCAAUGUACCGAUGUGAUAAAAGAAAGAAAAAUCAAUGAGGAAAACAAAGUCUGCAAGAGUACCAAUACCUUCUUGAAUGGUAACAAUGCGUAUUCCACCGGAACAAUCUGUCGUAGUAGAGAAGGAGGGGAGGUGUGGAAACAAAACCCCAGUCUUAGAAUUAGCAACGAAAUUUACCCAAUUAUUGAAUGUAUUUGGGAUAGAGUUUCCAGGUAUCCCAACUGUAAGUACACAGGUACAGCUUAUACCGACAGGAGACUUAUAGUCAAAUGUGACAACAACAAUGAACCUUUUCACAUUGAAGGUAGUGAAAAGGUUCAACCACCACCUGUUAUCCCUCCAAUAUCUGGGUAAUCUGUUACUACCUGAUGAAUCAGAGUAAUCUGUUACUA